CCUACGGGAGGCUGCAGUUAAGAAUCUUGCACAAUGGGGGCAACCCUGAUGCAGCGACGCCGCGUGAAUGAUGAAGGCCUUCGGGUUGUAAAGUUCAGUAAGCAGGGAAGAAUAAGCAACGGGUAAUAUUCGUUGUGAUGACGGUACCUGCCUAAAGCCCCGGCUAACUACGUGCCAGCAGCCGCGGUAAUACGUAUGGGGCGAGCGUUGUUCGGAAUAAUUGGGCGUAAGGGGCGUCUUGGCGGAGGAUGAAAAGCCAUGGGCUCAACCCGGGAACGGCAUCUAAGACUGGUUCUCUUGAGUUCGGGAGAGGAGAGCGGAAUUCCAGGUGUAGCGGUGAAAUGCGUAGAUAUCUGGAAGAACACCAGUGGCGAAGGCGGCUCUCGGGCCUAGAACUGACGCUGAAGCGCGAAAGCGUGGGGAGCGAACAGGAUUAGAUACCCAGUAGUC
This 450-nucleotide ribosomal RNA is filed under the name uncultured bacterium. Its description in RNAcentral is "partial 16S ribosomal RNA". It matches the Rfam family "Bacterial small subunit ribosomal RNA", at positions 338 to 795 of the family's 1533-position model. The record is from RNAcentral.